RNAcentral lists this ribosomal RNA (325 nucleotides) under Rhipicephalus sanguineus (brown dog tick). Its description in RNAcentral is "partial 12S ribosomal RNA". The record is from RNAcentral. Lineage: Eukaryota; Metazoa; Arthropoda; Arachnida; Ixodida; Ixodidae.
AAUUAUGAAAGCAAAAAAUUAUGGCGGUAUUUUAAGCUUUUCAGAGGAAUUUGCUCUUUAAUGGAUAAAACACCUAAAUCUUACUUAAAUUUGUUAUUUCAAUUUGUAUACCACUAUAAAAAUAAUUAAUAACUUUAAUUAUUUAAAUUUACUAAAUUAAAUUAUAUUAAGUCAAGGUGCAGUAAAAAUUUAAGAAUGAAGUGAAUUACAUUACUUUUUAGAGAAAAGAAAUUAAAUUUAUAUUUAGGAUUUGAAAGUAAAAUUAAAAUAGAAUGUUAAUUUGAAUCAAGCUCUAAAAUAUGUACACAUCGCCCGUCGCUCUCAU